Pelodiscus sinensis (Chinese soft-shelled turtle) is the source of this 4549-nucleotide non-coding RNA. NCBI's taxonomy places the organism in Eukaryota, Metazoa, Chordata, Testudines, Trionychidae. The record is from RefSeq and is a predicted model, not a curated record.
UCACGUGACCCCUUUCCCUCGGCCUGGGGAGGGGGGAUGCCAGUGAGUUAUCGCGAGAAGGGACGGAAGCCUAUGGGGGACCCGGCCUUUAAUGUGCGGUUCGGCCCCUCUCCCCGGGAAUUUAAGAGAAGCUGUUCCAGCCCCUUCAGUUCAUUGCCAUGAAAAGGAGAAUGUGAUAAACUAUUCACCCUAUGAAAUUUGGCUUACAUAUGAAAUCUACCAGGUAGUACAAGGACCUGUGGAAUAUGAGUGAUGACAAACCCUUUUUAUGCACUGCCCCUGGAUGUGGCCAGCGUUUUACCAACGAGGAUCAUUUGGCUGUCCAUAAACAUAAACAUGAGAUGACACUGAAAUUUGGUCCAGCUCGUAAUGACAGUGUCAUUGUGGCUGAUCAGACACCAACACCAACUAGAUUCUUGAAGAACUGUGAAGAAGUGGGUUUAUUUAAUGAGCUAGCAAGUCCUUUUGAAAAUGAAUUCAAAAAGGCUUCAGAAGAUGACAUUAAAAAAAUGCCUCUAGAUCUAUCUCCUCUUGCAACACCAAUCAUAAGAAAUAAAACUGAAGAACCUUCAGUUGUGGAGACAACUCAUCAGGAUAGUCCUUUACCUCAUCCAGAGUCCACUACCAGUGAUGAAAAGGAAGUGCCACUUCAGCAGACUGCACAGCCUACGUCAACAAUAGUUCGCCCAGCAUCAUUGCAGGUUCCUAAUGUACUGCUAACGAGUUCUGACUCAAGUGUUAUUAUACAGCAGGCAAUACCUUCACCAACUUCUAGCACGGUCAUUACCCAGGCUCCAUCCUCCAAUAGGCCAAUAGUACCAGUACCGGGUCCUUUUCCUCUGCUGUUACAUCUUCCUAAUGGACAAACUAUGCCUGUUGCCAUUCCUGCCUCAAUCACAAAUUCUAAUGUUCAUGUCCCUGCUGCAGUUCCACUUGUUAGACCUGUCACCAUGGUGCCUAGUAUCCCAGGAAUCCCAGGGCCCUCCUCCCCACAGCCAGUGCAGUCAGAGGCUAAAUUGAGAUUGAAAGCUGCCUUGACCCAACAGCAUCCUCAGGUCACAAAUGGAGAUACUGCCAAGGGACAUGCUAGUGGAUUGAUUAGGACUCAGUCAGAGGAAACCCGACCACAGUCAUUACAACAGCCUGCUACAUCAACUACAGAAACACCGGCUUCUCCAGCUCAGCCCACACCGCAAACCCAAAAUACAGGAGGUCGUCGAAGAAGAGCAGCAAAUGAAGACCCCGAUGAGAAAAGAAGGAAGUUUCUAGAGCGAAACCGUGCUGCUGCUUCAAGAUGUCGACAAAAAAGAAAAGUGUGGGUCCAGUCAUUGGAAAAGAAAGCAGAAGACUUGAGCUCAUUAAAUGGUCAAUUACAGGGGAGGUGUGGCCUGUCUUCCAGAGAGUGUCAUAUGUUGAAGAUCCAAGGAAAAUCCGUUAACAAACAAUGGCUAAAUGCAAGUGUGAAUGAAGUCACCCUGCUGAGAAAUGAAGUGGCACAGCUGAAACAGCUUCUUCUGGCUCAUAAAGAUUGCCCUGUAACUGCCAUGCAGAAGAAAUCUGGCUAUCAGACUGCAGAUAAAGAUGACAGUUCUGAAGACAUUUCAGUGCCAAGUAGUCCACAUACAGAAGCAAUUCAGCAUAGUUCUGUCAGCACUUCCAAUGGAGUAAGUUCAACCUCCAAGGCAGAAGCCGUAGCCACGUCAGUUCUCACCCAGAUGGCGGACCAGAGUACAGAGCCAGUGCUUUCACAGAUUGUUGUGGCUCCUUCCCAGUCACAACCUUCAGGAAGUUGAUUAAAAACUUGCAUUGCAACAGUUUCUUAGAUAUACACUUGUGACUUUAAAGGGAAAACAAGACCAGUCACUAUCUAAAAAAAGUAGCUUAAAAAUAUUCAUUUUUAAAAUUCAAAUUUAAAUUUGGCGUUAAAGAUUGGCAGAUCAAGAGGAGACUCAACAGUUUCUAGUCUCCUCGUAGAAUGAUUUUUUUUAAAAAAGUUAGUUUAUUAAUUAUUUUGAGUGCUCAAUGUGUAAAGUGUGUGAACAGUACAAUGUGGUUUAUUUCACUUUUAAUUUGGUAUGAUUUCAACCAACAUUGGGGUGAAUUGUUAAAGCUCAUCCCCAAGACUGUGAUAGUAAUAUUGUUAUGUGACAUUUUAUACCAAAGUUCUGCAUAGUCCCUAUUGACUUUGUAAUGUUAUCAAGGUCAUAAAGCACUAGGCAAGAGAAAAAGACAGUAACAGUGCAUUUGCUUUUAGUCUUUUUGCCUUUUUUAUUGUUUUGCACAUUGAGAGAAAGAACAUUGGGAGAAAAUGUUUGCUUUAUGUCAUAUGUACCAUUUUGUUUGGCUUGUUAAUUGUUUUGUUUGGUUUUUUUAAAAAAAAUUGUUUAACAGGGCCAGUAUGAUGUAGGGACAUAAAGUACUUUUAUGCACAUACGCAAAACAGGUGAGGGUUAUUACUAACUAGAUUUUCUUUAAAAACUGAUGCCAAUUUUUUCAACAUUUUAUUUUUAAAGGGGGAACUUUAUUUCUGCUGUCAAAACAGUGGACUGCAACUACCAUUUGAGGCUAGUAGUAAACAGAUGUUGUACAAUACAGGGUUAUCAGAUACGAAAUAAUUUUCAUAAAUAGCUUGAUACUUUGUGGAUUUUUGAAUCACAGACUAAGGAAUUUACUCAUACACACAUAUGGAUGCCAGAGAAGCCUAAGAGACCUUUGUUAAACAACACUUCUUCUCUUCUUUGUCAUUGUCUUGUAUUUGCAAGCUAACUUGUACUUAAUUCUUGUGUAAGCACUGUCAUCUUUUAGUAGCAAAAUUUUGAUACCUUUCUUGUGGAAAAAUCAGUAUCUACCAUAUCUUGGAAACAAUGUAAUUAUAAUGUGGGUGUGUAUGUGUGUGAGAAUGGUUCAGUAGUUUAUGCCAGCAGUCUUUGCUUGAAUGUUUAAAGAUGCCUUCAAUGUGAUGCUGGCUGAUAGAUUGCAGUUUAAAAAUGUUAUAUACAGUGCAAACUUGGGUAACUAACAUUCCAUGAUGUAUGUUUGUUUCUGAUGGUAUGAUUGUAGGUACACUUCUUCUCAUUAUCCAGUCAUCUGUGGGAUAUUGAGUUUUUUAAAUGUGCCAUUACCUAUUUGGAUUCUUUGCUCAUGUUCAAAAUAUAGUACAAUAUUUUACAAUAGAUUAUAUGUGGGGAGUAGGUUUGUGCUUUCAGGUCAGAAAACUUUGUAUAAUAGCAAAAGAAUAGCAAAUAUUGGCAGUAAGACAGGAUUCCAUUAUGUAUAUAACAAAGAUUUAAUGCAUUUAUAAUGGGUUGAGUAGUUCAUUUUCUCUUCCUUCUCCAUGCUACACUGUUUUAAAGCUCAGUGCUAUCCAAUUCCUUAUGAGAUUCAAUUUUAAAUAUAUGAAAUGUAAUUGGUAAUACAGAGGAAGAACAUAAUUUGUAUAAUAUACAACCGUACUAUAAUCAAAACUGGACAAAGACUUAUCUGAAUUGUGUGUAUAUCAUUUCAGUGCUGUAUGUGUGAAAAUAAUAGAAAUUCUAAAUAUUUUGUAUUUUAAAAACAAGGAAAUAAUUUUUGAGUUGCUAAACCCAUAUGUUUAAAUACUUUUACCAGUUUAAUGGGGGCAGUUAGUUAUUGAAAAAGUCCACAGUGGUAAAAUAUACCAUAAGUCUUGUGAGAAUGUAGUUGAUCUCAAAGGCACAAAAUGUGAAUUAUGCAGGUAUACAGUUAUUACUUUUCAUUGUAAUUUUAGCAAACUAGAUAAAAACCUCAUUGGUUACAUUAUCAUUCUCUCUCCUAAACACUAAGACAUUUUUACAUUAUUUAUUCAAGUGAUUUUUUUAAAUAAAGCUGUUGUGCCUGUAAAAUAAGUCUACGUAAGCGUGAGGAAACGUGUAAACAUUUUAAUGAAUUCAUCAAUGCCAUUGGGAAAGGAAUAAUAAUAAACCUGUCUGUGCUCAGCAAAUGGAGAAGUACAACUAUGAAUUCCGUUUUGAGACAUGUCACACUACUUCUGUACUUAGCAUUUUGAGUCUUUACAUUUGACAUGUUUCACAAACUGUACUGUUUUCUUUCAUAUGCAAUUUGCAUGAGUAAAUCAUCAGAGAAUAAUCUUUAAAUUAUGUUCCUAUUUUAAUGAAAUUAUAACUGUUUUAAAAUGUAGUGGUGUACUCAGACUUCUUUCUCUUGUUAGCAUUUAUAUGGAAAUAAGGACUAGAGUGUCAAUGUAACAUUUUAUAAAUGUAGAAGAACAACCCUGUAUUCUAGAGAUGGAGUCAAAUUCCGUUCUUCUACCCUUUGAUUCAAACCACUUUGCUUUGAAGAAUUAUUCUUACAUCAUUAGUUCCAGGAGCAGAAGAUGGGCAUCAGAAAGGAGUCUUGCAACAUAGCCUAUAGGUCACUGAUAUGGUUCAACCUGAUUUCUAUUUGCACUUUUGAUUUUCAAUAAAUCUUGGUACCUCAAUGAAGUGCUAGAAGACAGGAAGAAAGUAAGUGUUGUGCCAAUAUUUAAAAAGGGUGAACAGGAUUUCCCAGGUAAUUAUAGGCCUUGUCA